Molecule: ribosomal RNA, 468 nt
Filed under: uncultured bacterium
Lineage: Bacteria
Description: partial 16S ribosomal RNA
Rfam family: Bacterial small subunit ribosomal RNA
Source: RNAcentral
GACGAACGCUGGCGGCGUGCUUAACACAUGCAAGUCGAACGGAAAGGCCCUGCUUUUGUGGGGUGCUCGAGUGGCGAACGGGUGGGUAACACGUGAGUAACCUGCCCUUGACUUUGGGAUAACUUCAGGAAACUGGGGCUAAUACCGGAUAGGAGCUCCUGCUGCAUGGUGGGGGUUGGAAAGUUUCGGCGGUUGGGGAUGGACUCGCGGCUUAUCAGCUUGUUGGUGGGGUAGUGGCUUACCAAGGCUUUGACGGGUAGCCGGCCUGAGAGGGUGACCGGCCACAUUGGGACUGAGAUACGGCCCAGACUCCUACGGGAGGCAGCAGUGGGGAAUAUUGCACAAUGGGCAGAAGCCUGAUGCAGCAACGCCGCGUGCGGGACGACGGCCUUCGGGUUGUAAACCGCUUUCGCCUGUGACGAAGCGUGAGUGACGGUAAUGGGUAAAGAAGCACCGGCUAACUACGUG